This 1928-nucleotide long non-coding RNA is filed under the name Gossypium barbadense (sea-island cotton). RNAcentral describes it as "long non-coding RNA (GBAR_LNC020179)". The record is from RNAcentral. Lineage: Eukaryota; Viridiplantae; Streptophyta; Magnoliopsida; Malvales; Malvaceae.
UUUGGGCUUUGAGUUAGAUAAAACUUAGGUUUUGGUUUAGAUUAUAUAUUUAAAUAUUGUAAAUAUACAUAUUAUGUUUAGAUAAUAUACUUGAGUUAUAUUGGGUUUGGGCUUACAAAAUUUUGCUCAAUGCCUGACACAAAUAAUAAAAUGGGCUUACACUUUUGUCCAAACUCAUUUUUCAAGCUUUGUAUUUUUGUCCAAGUCAUCUUAUGUUUCAAAUGAGCUUUAGAAUUUAGGCGGAUAAUUGAACUCUUAGACAACUCUGCUCUUCACACAGCCUCCCAAACCAUCCCAUCCGCGUUAGGCACCUCCACACCAAUGCUUACAAAUUUAUGCAUUCACAUCCAAUGUCACAUCUACAUUUACCUUGGUUAGGCCUUCCAAAGGUGGCCGCCAUUUCACUUCAACCAGCAAAAUAAGGUGAUUUAAGAGGUUGUAAACUCGAAAAUCAUGAUCCAAUCCCUUAGCAUAGUUAAGUGCGAGAUGUGGGGGGAGUAAGUUUACCAUGCACAAACUCACUGUUCUUCAAUUCCAAAGUUCCUCAAGCAAAAUGAUCAAAUUGGUUAGAGCGUCCCUGUCUAGCUUACACAUAACAAACUCAAGCCAGUCAAUACAAUAAAAAACUUAAAAAGUAAUAUAUGGUCAUCAAUACCUACCAAUCUUAAGGUGGCAUUUGAAACCUGACAAUCUUUGAGUGUAGGUAAGGUCAAUUUUUUGUCAAACUUGCAUCUAUGAUAUCUUGGAUUUGGAAGAUUUCUCAUAUUAACAAUCUUAGUGUCAAUUCACAAGAUACCAUAUCUAGUCGCGAUGUAAAAAUCUUCGAAAGCAUUUUGGACUUCCAAGUUUUUCUCGAAAAGACAUUGCGAGGACCAUUACCCAAAAAUCGUAAAAGGAGCUAAGAAUACCCCACUUUUGUCAAAUAUAUACCUGCCGAAAAAUGUCCCCCAUUGAGUGUAUCUCUCAAUCCACGCCUUAAAAGAUUCGAUUGAUAAGAUCAAAUCUGGUUCAGAUUGAGUGAAAGCCUAUUGAACAAACUGCUCAUCUCACCCUAUUUCUCCCUCAUGUAUUAACUGACUAUUCGUAGCAUCUCCUAUUAAAGUUCCUUUGUAAGUUAACUCCGGUCCAAUAAUGUCUUUGUUUCCCCAUCUAUACUCCCAUAUAUGCAAUUCUUUGCCAUCCCUGAUCUGCCAAAACAUGCCCAGUGCGAGCCUAUUUGCAGCUGUGCUCAAGCUUGUCAAUAUGAAAAAUAGUUUGCCAACAUGUUUAUAGUUAAGAAUAUCAUCAUCCAAGAACUAUCAUUAAGAACCUUGAAAGCAAGAAAGUCUCUAUGUUUUAAGAGACAACAAACUUGUCUACCUAAUAAAGCCAAAUUAAAAAGUCUGACAUUUCGAAAACCCAAGCCUCCUAUACUGUUAACAUAGCCCAUCCUUGAUCCUCAUUUCAACCUUGCCACCGGAACUUGUGUAUUGCACUCACAAUUGCAUCAGUUAUCAAGUUAGGCAUAAAAAAUAAAACCAUAGCAUAAGUGGGGAGUGACUGCAAAAUCGAUUUUACAAAGACCUCAUUGCCUCAAUGAGAUAAAAGGCAUUUGGACCGAAUAUAAAUGUGCAAAUAAACCCUGUCAGUCAUCCUUUUAAAAGCAUUUGGUUUGUUAAGAUCCACAACCAAAGGCAACCUCAAAUACAGUUUAGGAUCCGCCAUGACCUUUACUUCUAAUAUACGACUCAAUACUUAGCGUCAAGAGUAUUCAAACUGAAGUAAAGUAGAUGUUUCUCAAGAUUAACCUUUUGGUCAAAGCUACUUUCAUAAAUCAUUAGCAAGUCCCUCGCUUUUCUUGCUUCAGUCUAUUUAUUUUUGACAAACAACAGGUUAUCAUUACCAAAGAGAAAGUGAUUCACAUUAGGACCAUUCUGACUAGUCCAAAU